RNAcentral lists this long non-coding RNA (925 nucleotides) under Mus musculus (house mouse). Its description in RNAcentral is "predicted gene 12295". Lineage: Eukaryota; Metazoa; Chordata; Mammalia; Rodentia; Muridae. The record is from RNAcentral.
AGGAUAAUGUCGAUAGAACAAAGUCAGUGCCUCCUUCUGCUGCUAAGUUAAGAAUCCCCUUGGCCAUCAAGUAUGCUUCCCCAAACUAUUUCCAAAGACGUUUGAAAAUAUGGAGAAAGUUUCAGAAAGCUCCAUCAUUACUAUGAGCCUCAGUCCCCAAUCUCUGUCUUAAGAUGCUGCUUGGAUGUUGUUGGAUCCUGCACUGGAAUGUACUAGAAGAGAAUGGGUCGGUACCAAGGUCAGUUCAUAAUAAAGAGCUUUCCAGAAGCCCCCAUCCCCACCCCAAGCCAACAGGAAUUGGCAAUGAACUUUAAGAAAAGGCUACGCGAGCCAGAAAACAACUUAGGGCUGUUUAAUUUUCCUGACAUGAACGCUGGCCACCCAAGGGGAUAAAGGAAACACCUGUCUCCCGUGGGCAGCGGUUCUGCAGGGCGUGUGGAUAUCCAGAAAGCUGCUGGGAGACUUCUUUCACCCGCCAAGUUAGAGACAAACGAACCUGUGGAAAGAGUGGUUUCGCAGAAGACCAUGGACCCCAGCCUGGGUCUCAGCUCUGCCUCUGACUAGGAAGGGGCCACUAGAAUCAGCAACCCCGCCUCUAAGAAGAACAUAAGCUUUUUGCACAGUAUUCUCUCAGGAGCUUUUAUUGAGACUCAUAAAGGAAGCAACAACACUUGAGAGUGUUGCAAAGUGGAAAAAACAAAACAGAAACAAAAACAACAACAAAAAACACGUGAACAUGACGUUGGGGGAAAGGAUGAAACCAGCCAUCGCAAGCCAGGAGAAUCCUUGGGAAGUGAGGCUCAGCGGCUGAGCAGCCUGAGCACAGAGGUUCAGGGUCAGGGUAGGGUGCCUAGCGAAUUCCCGUAACGCAGGACACUGCCCAAGCCAGCUUCAUAAAAAGUCACUCCGUUGAUUUCAGGCUCAA